This 339-nucleotide ribosomal RNA is filed under the name Nematoda environmental sample. RNAcentral's name for it is "SSU rRNA". It matches the Rfam family "Eukaryotic small subunit ribosomal RNA", at positions 1300 to 1665 of the family's 1831-position model. Lineage: Eukaryota; Metazoa; Nematoda. The record is from RNAcentral.
CGUGGUGUGAACUGUCUGCUUAAUUGCGAUAACGAGCGAGACUCCGACUGUUAAAUAGUGGAAGGUUUAUUAUUGACCUUUACAUUUCUUAACGGGAUUCGCAACUUCAAGUUGCAAGAAAUGGAGCAAUAACAGGUCUGUGAUGCCCUUAGAUGUCCGGGGCAGCACGCGUGCUACAAUGAUGGUAACAGCGUGAUUGUCCUCGCCCGACAGGGCUUGGCAAACAGUUGAGAUAUUAUUAUGGCUGGAAUUGAGUGUUGAAAUUUUCUCUCAUGAACGAGGAAUUCCAAGUAAAUGCGAGUCAUCAACUCGCAUUGAAUACGUCCCUGCCCUUUGUAC